This 253-nucleotide ribosomal RNA is filed under the name uncultured bacterium. RNAcentral describes it as "partial 16S ribosomal RNA". It matches the Rfam family "Bacterial small subunit ribosomal RNA", at positions 524 to 776 of the family's 1533-position model. The record is from RNAcentral.
UACGAAGGGGGCUAGCGUUGUUCGGAAUUACUGGGCGUGAAGCGCGCGCAGGCGGCUAUCCAAGUCAGUGGUGAAAGCCCGGAGCUCAACUCCGGAACUGCCAUUGAAACUGUUUAGCUUGAGGACGAGAGAGGUGAGUGGAAUUCCCAGUGUAGAGGUGAAAGUCGUAGAUAUUGGGAAGAACACCGGUGGCGAAGGCGGCUCACUGGACUGGUAUUGACGCUGAGGUGCGAAAGCGUGGGGAGCAAACAGG